Molecule: ribosomal RNA, 98 nt
Filed under: Sylvirana guentheri
Lineage: Eukaryota; Metazoa; Chordata; Amphibia; Anura; Ranidae
Description: partial 12S ribosomal RNA
Source: RNAcentral
CCUCUUCGACUACAUAACAAAGUUCAUAACCCCAUUUUUUACUCUAGAAGAGGCAAGUCGUAACAUGGUAAGUGUACUGGAAAGUGUACUUGGUAUAU